CGCACAUUGCGCCCAUUAGUAUUCUAUUGGGCAUGCCUGUUCGAGCGUCAUUUCAACCCUUAAGCCUAGCUUAGUGUUGGGAAUCUACUGCCCGGGAGGAGCUACCCUGUAGCGCCUACCCUGUAGUUCCCGAAAACCAACGGCGGAUUUACAGUGUCCUCUGAGCGUAGUAAUCUCUUUCUCGCUUCUGUCAGGUGCUGUAAGCCUUGCCGCUAAACCCCCAAUUUUUAAAUGGUUGACCUCGGAUCAGGUAGGAAUACCCGCUGAACUUAA
This 273-nucleotide unclassified non-coding RNA is filed under the name Xylariales sp. RNAcentral's name for it is "partial contains 5.8S ribosomal RNA, internal transcribed spacer 2, and large subunit ribosomal RNA". Lineage: Eukaryota; Fungi; Ascomycota; Sordariomycetes; Xylariales. The record is from RNAcentral.